This 484-nucleotide ribosomal RNA is filed under the name uncultured bacterium. Its description in RNAcentral is "partial 16S ribosomal RNA". It matches the Rfam family "Bacterial small subunit ribosomal RNA", at positions 30 to 507 of the family's 1533-position model. The record is from RNAcentral.
AUUGAACGCUGGCGGCAGGCCUAACACAUGCAAGUCGAGCGGAUGAAGGGAGCUUGCUCCUGGAUUCAGCGGCGGACGGGUGAGUAAUGCCUAAGAAUCUGCCUGGUAGUGGGGGAUAACGUCCGGAAACGGGCGCUAAUACCGCAUACGUCCUGAGGGAGAAAGAGGGGGAUCUUCGGACCUCACGCUCUCAGAUGAGCCUAGGUCGGAUUAGCUAGUUGGUGGGGUAAAGGCCUACCAAGGCGACGAUCCGUAACUGGUCUGAGAGGAUGAUCAGUCACACUGGAACUGAGACACGGUCCAGACUCCUACGGGAGGCAGCAGUAGGGAAUAUUGGACAAUGGGCGAAAGCCUGAUCCAGCCAUGCCGCGUGUGUGAAGAAGGUCUUCGGAUUGUAAAGCACUUUAAGUUGGGAGGAAGGGCAGUAAGUUAAUACCUUGCUGUUUUGACGUUACCAACAGAAUAAGCACCGGCUAACUUCGUG